AGUGAACGCUGGCGGUAGGCCUAACACAUGCAAGUCGAACGGCAGCACAGUAAGAGCUUGCUCUUACGGGUGGCGAGUGGCGGACGGGUGAGGAAUACAUCGGAAUCUACUUUUUCGUGGGGGAUAACGUAGGGAAACUUACGCUAAUACCGCAUACGACCUACGGGUGAAAGCAGGGGAUCUUCGGACCUUGCGCGAUUGAAUGAGCCGAUGUCGGAUUAGCUAGUUGGCGGGGUAAAGGCCCACCAAGGCGACGAUCCGUAGCUGGUCUGAGAGGAAGAUCAGCCACACUGGAACUGAGACACGGUCCAGACUCCUACGGGAGGCAGCAGUGGGGAAUAUUGGACAAUGGGCGCAAGCCUGAUCCAGCCAUACCGCGUGGGUGAAGAAGGCCUUCGGGUUGUAAAGCCCUUUUGUUGGGAAAGAAAAGCAGCAGGUUAAUACCCCGCUGUUCUGACGGUACCCAAAGAAUAAGCACCAGCUAACUUCGUG
This 492-nucleotide ribosomal RNA is filed under the name uncultured bacterium. Its description in RNAcentral is "partial 16S ribosomal RNA". It matches the Rfam family "Bacterial small subunit ribosomal RNA", at positions 29 to 507 of the family's 1533-position model. The record is from RNAcentral.